UCUCUGGUAGUGCAAUUUGGAAGCAUUUCCGCUCGUCUGAGAACGGUGCGCGGGAGAUCCAGGUUCAAGUCCUUGGCCGGAGAG
Molecule: non-coding RNA, 84 nt
Organism: Teratosphaeriaceae sp. CCFEE 6253
Lineage: Eukaryota; Fungi; Ascomycota; Dothideomycetes; Mycosphaerellales; Teratosphaeriaceae
Source: the annotation of a GenBank genome assembly